This 397-nucleotide ribosomal RNA is filed under the name uncultured bacterium. RNAcentral's name for it is "bacterial SSU rRNA". It matches the Rfam family "Bacterial small subunit ribosomal RNA", at positions 505 to 898 of the family's 1533-position model. The record is from RNAcentral.
GUGUCAGCAGCCGCGGUAAUACGUAGGGGGCAAGCGUUGUCCGGAUUCAUUGGGCGUAAAGAGCUCGUAGGCGGUUCGGUAAGUCAGGUGUGAAAUCUCCGUGCUCAACACGGAGCGGCCACCUGAUACUGCCGUGACUCGAGUCCGGUAGGGGAGUAUGGAAUUCCCGGUGUAGCGGUGAAAUGCGCAGAUAUCGGGAGGAACACCAGUGGCGAAGGCGGUACUCUGGGCCGGAACUGACGCUGAGGAGCGAAAGCGUGGGGAGCAAACAGGAUUAGAUACCCUGGUAGUCCACGCCGUAAACGUUGGGCACUAGGUGUGGGUCUCUAUCGACGGGAUCCGUGCCGUAGCUAACGCAUUAAGUGCCCCGCCUGGGGAGUACGGCCGCAAGGCUAAA